RNAcentral lists this unclassified non-coding RNA (289 nucleotides) under Hydnobolites cerebriformis. Its description in RNAcentral is "sequence contains 5.8S rRNA gene". The record is from RNAcentral. Lineage: Eukaryota; Fungi; Ascomycota; Pezizomycetes; Pezizales; Pezizaceae.
GAACGCACAUUGCGCCUCAUGGCAUUCCGUGAGGCAUGCCCAUCUCAGCGUUAGUAAAUAUCAUCAAAUUUUGACAUUAUGUUAAUAUUUGGAUCAUGUCAAGGAAGCGAUUUCCAUUUAUAUGGAUAGCUCCUUGGAAAUUCAUAGGUAGUAUAGUUGCUAUCAUUAGAACGUGAUGAAUAUUCCUUCGUUCAAAUGGAGUUUACUUGUAUGGCCCUGAAACCAUAUAUACCAUUUUGGUAUUUUGUCAAUUUGACCUGAGAUUGGGUAGGGAUACCCGCUGAACUUA